ACCUGGAUAGCUCGGUUGGUUAGAGUGUGGUGCUGAACGCCAAGGUUGCAGGUUUGAUCCCCGUAUGGGACA
Non-coding RNA from Podarcis lilfordi (Lilford's wall lizard), 72 nucleotides. The record is from the annotation of a GenBank genome assembly. NCBI's taxonomy places the organism in Eukaryota, Metazoa, Chordata, Lepidosauria, Squamata, Lacertidae.